This 501-nucleotide ribosomal RNA is filed under the name uncultured bacterium. RNAcentral's name for it is "partial 16S ribosomal RNA". It matches the Rfam family "Bacterial small subunit ribosomal RNA", at positions 30 to 523 of the family's 1533-position model. The record is from RNAcentral.
AUUGAACGCUGGCGGCAGGCUUAACACAUGCAAGUCGAGCGGGGGAAGGUAGCUUGCUACCGGACCUAGCGGCGGACGGGUGAGUAAUGCUUAGGAAUCUGCCUAUUAGUGGGGGACAACAUCUCGAAAGGGAUGCUAAUACCGCAUACGUCCUACGGGAGAAAGCAGGGGAUCUUCGGACCUUGCGCUAACAGAUGAGCCUAAGUCGGAUUAGCUAGUUGGUGGGGUAAAGGCCUACCAAGGCGACGAUCUGUAGCGGGUCUGAGAGGAUGAGCCGCCACACUGGGACUGAGACACGGCCCAGACUCCUACGGGAGGCAGCAGUGGGGAAUAUUGGACAAUGGGGGGAACCCUGAUCCAGCCAUGCCGCGUGUGUGAAGAAGGCCUUAUGGUUGUAAAGCACUUUAAGCGAGGAGGAGGCUACUUUAGUUAAUACCUAGAGAUAGUGGACGUUACUCGCAGAAUAAGCACCGGCUAACUCUGUGCCAGCAGCCGCCGUAA